UAGCCUACGGGACGCAGUAGUGGGGGAUAUUGCACAAUGGGGGGAACCCUGAUGCAGCGACGCCGCGUGGGUGAAGGAGUAUUUCGGUAUGUAAAGCCCUAUCGGCAGGGAAGAAGCAAGACGGUACCUGACUAAGAAGCCCCGGCUAACUACGUGCCAGCAGCCGCGGUAAUACGUAGGGGGCAAGCGUUAUCCGGAUUUACUGGGUGUAAAGGGAGCGUAGGCGGCUGUGUAAGCCAGAAGUGAAAGCCCGGGGCUCAACUCCGGGACUGCUUUUGGAACUACAUGGCUUUAUU
Molecule: ribosomal RNA, 296 nt
Filed under: uncultured bacterium
Lineage: Bacteria
Description: partial 16S ribosomal RNA
Rfam family: Bacterial small subunit ribosomal RNA
Source: RNAcentral